GUCUCUAUGGCACAGUUGAUUGAGCAUUGGGCUGCUGGGCAAGAGGUUGCUAGUUUGAGUCUAGCCAGAGACA
Molecule: transfer RNA, 73 nt
Filed under: Sphaerodactylus townsendi
Lineage: Eukaryota; Metazoa; Chordata; Lepidosauria; Squamata; Sphaerodactylidae
Description: tRNA-Ser
Rfam family: tRNA
About the family: Transfer RNA (tRNA) molecules are approximately 80 nucleotides in length.
Source: RNAcentral